UGAGCCACCGUGCCCGGGCUACCUAAACUUCUUUAAAAGAAAUGAUGGUAAAGUCCCAGCCCCAGAGAUUCUGACUUCAUUGUGACAAGGGGGGAGAGGGACAAGCAUCAGAGGUUUUUGUAAGUCCCCAUGUUGUUCCAAUGUGCAGCCAGGAUGGAGAGCAGCUGGAUGUCAGGAUGCACACACAGGACGAUGGAAGGAGGUGGCUCAUCUGCCAUGAGAAUGCCAUCUCCUGCGACCCGGAAGUGGGCUUCUCCCAGGGCCAUUUCCAAACAGCCUCAUCAGAGGUUCUUUUCUGAGGGAAAGACUUAAGCACUUUCUUGUGUGCUUCCAGCUCGAUGGGAGAUGCAGUGAGGAGCUUUGCUUUUAGAAACAGGCUGUGUCACACGGUCAUGGAAGAAAGGAGAUGCCGCCACGUGUUAGAUCACAGGGACAGGUGAAAAACCCAUAACCCCAAAUUUGAAUUGGAAGCAUCAGUAUGAAAUCAUGCUGUAUUUCGUCUUACAAAAUAAAGCACACGUGUUUGCUGGCUCUGUCCACCAAAAGGUUAGAAAUAACGACCCUUUCGGAAGCACCCCCAACACCUGGAUUAUGGUUUCUAAACACCCCUGCCAAGGAGAGAUCAGGGCUCCAUGGAGAAAUGGCUGAUUCCAAGUCUGAGGCAUGAAAGGUUCAAGAGAAGCCUGGAACAUCUUGUCAUUCUUUGUUCCUCAAUAUCAAGGAAGCUGUCAAUGACUUCUGGGGUCACAUCCAAAAGGAUGCAGGGGACAAUGUGAAGAGGCUGCCACUGGCCAAAGAUGGGUCGUUUUUUGGGCAUCGAUGAGCACAAUGACUGCACUGGAUGGAAACAUACCAUGUAUGUCCAAAUCAACGAGCUCACCAUGACACUUAGAAAAAUAUAAAUUCAUCUGUCACCUUUGGAGGAUUUUGGGAAACCAACUUAUUGUGAAAGCUGACAGAUAAAGGAAAAGAAUCAAGCAUUUAUUCUUUUAGGUAUGGACCAUACUUUAUGAUAGCCAAGUAGUUGAUAAGUUGAUACUCUUUCUAGAUGUAUUUCCACUAACAAAAACAGAAUACUAGAAUUAGUAUCCUUUUAUUUCAAAAUCUAAUAAAAAUAAUGUAUCUAGACAAUGAUGAUCAGUGCUGCUAACGUCACAAAGAAGGGCAAGAAACCACCACUAGGAGUAGUUAUAAAAAAAAAAUCGAACAUGAAGGUAAGUGGGCUUCUAGAUCUAACUACCAAUUUAUAAGAAAUACAGGGAGAAACAUAACUUCUCUAUGGGGAGACAACAAGCAAAAUCCAGACUGUAGGAAACUAUAGAAUAAACAACCCAGUUUCUUCAACAAAUAAAUUGCAAAGGAAGAAAAAGAGAAGGGAAGAGAACCUACAAAUUAAGAGGGUUGUAGGAGACGUCCCGAUGGCCACAUACAAACCUUAUUUGGAUACUGAUUUUUUUUUUUUGAGUGCUGACUGGAUACUUGCUGAUAUUAAAAGCAUCACUAUUAGUUUUAGUAGGUGUGAUGGUGGCAAAAAAAUAAUCAUUUUUUUGGAGUUAUAUACUGAAAUAUUUGCAAAAGAAAUGGUUGCUAUCUGGAAUUUGCUUCAAAAUAACCUGGGAUGGGAGGAGGGAAGGGGGCCCCGAUGGAAUAGGACUGGCUUGAGAGUUGGUGACUGCUGGAGCUGGGGCUCGUGGAGUCACACUCUAUUAGGGACAGACAGGAUGUGUGCACACUGUGAGGCUCUUCACAAUGAAAAGAGAAAAGGAAAGACCAGCCUUUUCCUUCCCUUCUCUCGGGGGUGUCGGGCUGGUUUGCCCACCACUGCUGGCAUCUCUGGGACGAGCCCCGAGAGCGGGCUUGGGAUGUAUCUUCAACAUCUCAGCCCCGUCUCCAUGGCAACCAGAGGCAAGGGAAAGUCCCAUCAAAAGGCUUCUGUCCCCACAUAGCUGCUCCCCUGGGAGCACUCGCUAGCCAGAUCUUCACAGGGCACCCCAAGGCUGCCUCCUAGUGCACCCCCUGAGGAAGUAGAGGCCAAUUAGUAGAGAGGACAGGACCCUGAAUCAGACCCAGGUCCAAAUUCUGACUUCACCACUUAAUGGCAGGACGUCGAGCCUCCCUGAGCCUUGGUUUUUCUCAUCUAUAAAAUGGGCAUAAUGUGACCUCUACCAACUCAACACAUCUUUAUUAUGGAAGGACAGUGGCAAAAAGGACCCAGUCUCCGCCCCACAGAACUAGACGCUCAGCGGGGAGAGGCAGUCUCGGUGGAGUAGGGGUACCGUGAUAAGGAGCCCAUUGUGGAACUUGAGACUUAAGGGUGCCUAGUCACAGCCCAGUUUUUGAAAAAACUGGUGGUCACUAUUUAGAUGUCAUAACUCUCCGUACUUUCAUUAACCAGAACAUUUUCCAACUGCUGAGUAUCUAGUCAUUGCAAACACACAGAAUAAUUUCUCUCAACUCAAUUCUCACGUCCCUACGAGGUAAGGCCUGUCAUUCCAGCCUAUGAAGGACAAAGCUGGGCACAGGGAGGCGUGCUACAUUGCCCAAGGCCACGCUGUUGGUGCAUGGCCCUUGUCUUUCAUAAUCUUUGAAAUGCCACAGCAGGGCCAGGAAAUCAGUGCUGCCAGGAGACUCGAAGCUCUCCAGAUCACACUUUGUUUUGCAAAUCAAGAAACAGUGGCCCAGAGAGGUCAAGGAACUUGACUGAGGCCACACGGCAAACUAGCCGCUGAGCCCGUGUUUGGGCUGCUUGGGGAGAAGGUACCCGGAAGCCCCAUGUGGUAAGGGAAGCCGACUCUUAAUGCCCCAGGUAAGCCUGUUCCUGAGUAGGGUGGCUAACCUUCCCAGUUUUGCCCGGGACUGAGUGGUUUCUUGGGACUGGGGGCUUCAGGGGCUAAAACCAGGGCAGUCCUGGGCCAGCUGGGAUGGGCUGGCCACUCUAUGUCAUAGACAGUGAGGCAUCUAAAUAGGUGUUUUCCAGGAAAUGAGGCUUUGGGGCAGAGCUGGCUAGGGAGAACCAUCAACAGGACCCCAUAGAAGUACUGUGGCUUCAUGCCUAUGGUCCCCUGGGAGGUACCACCCACGUCAUCUCAGUGGCCUUCAAAGGGGUCUGUGGCCCAACGUUCUUCUUUGCACCCCUCCCGUCUGCUCUGUUCCCAACAGCCAGAGCUCUCUUUCUAAAUCAUAAACCUAAUUGCUCCAUGUCCAGUUUGCAAACCUAAAUGGUUUCUCAUUUUCCCCAUCGCUUUAGGAUAAAUGCUAAAUUUUGCAAGCCCAGGAUGCCUUUGGUGGGCUUGCCCCUGUCCACCUGGUCCAGCCUCCCUCUGGAACCCACCCUGCUGCACCCCUAUGCAAUUCCAAGCAGGGCCAGGAUAACCCAAUACCUUCUAACUAACCCUCCCCUCAUCCAUAACCCUGUCCCUAGCAUCCCACUCUUUCUUCCAUGACAUCAGCACAAUUGUGAUCACAUGGCUAUUGGUAUAAUUAGCUGAUUAUUAAUAUCUAGUCAGUCCCACCCCUGGCUACACUGCCAGCCCGAGGGGGCAGGGGCAGGGGCGGGUCUGUGAUAUUCACUUCUGUUUCACAGCCUCUGACUCAGUGGUGACAUGUGAAUGACACUCAAUAGUCAUCAAAUGGCCCCACCACCACCAACACCGCUGACUCCUCUGACCUGUUCUCCAUCUGGGAUCACAGAAACCCGCCAAAGCCACACAGAACUCCAGGUCCCAUUUCAGUUCCAGAGUUCUCCCAGAUUUCUCGUUGCUAAGCUGUGAAGUUCCAGGUUGCACAGCGCGGCUGCUAAUUGGCAGGGAGUUCCCGGGCGGCUCCAAUCAGGGCCGGGCUGCUGAAAAGAGCGUCCGCAUCGCAGCUCGCCUGGAGGUUUUGGAAUUUUCUCCCUGACGUCGUGAACCGCAAAGGUCUUUGUCUCACUGCAGAACCUGCUCUCUCGAUGUGGCUGGUGGGGACACCAGAGACCCUGGAAUUAACCCCAGAGGCACAGGGAGAUCCCGGUCAGGGACAGAGAUGCUUGGGACCCAUUCACAGCUGGCCAGGGACAGACAGUGUGACCGCCUCCCCAUCCUGAGGCAGGAGGGGUGGCUCAAGGCCCCCAGGACAGAUCUCUCACGUCUACCGCCCAAGUGUGGUGCAAGACUGGAGAAGGCUGAAGAAAACUGGAAGCCAUUGAACUUGGGAUUAGUGAGGUGAAACCCACAUUUAUAAAGGACUAUAAAACACACAGAUGGAGGGACAUUCAGUGUUCCCCCUCUAGCAUUCUAAUGAAAACCACCACCAUGAACUGAGUUCCUACUGUGAGCCAGAGACUGCAUUCCCAUUUCUUCCUAUCCAGAAAUUUCCACGGGACAGCAGAUUGGUAAUGAUGGACAGCUGCUGCUGGACUGCUGCUUUCAAGAACAGGAAGUCAUGUGACCCAGGUCUGGCCACAGUGAUUGGCUCUGGGAUGGGCACCUGACCAAGCUGGGCCAAUCAGAAUCUUCCUUGAGACUUUUCUACUGGAACUGUAGGAAAAGACCCAUGCCCAUCACAGCAUUUACUGAGCUGGUGGCCACUGAGAACACACAUGGAAAGUGCCUGAGAAAGAUAUGGAGCCCUCAAAAACAUGGUGGCCCCGUGACAAUACUGGAGCCCCAGAUGCAGCUGGAGGGGGAACCAGAUCUACUCCCUGGAUUUUAUAGUUACAAGAACAGUAAAUUCUUUUUCUGCUUAA
This is a non-coding RNA of Microcebus murinus (gray mouse lemur), 4723 nucleotides long. Lineage: Eukaryota; Metazoa; Chordata; Mammalia; Primates; Cheirogaleidae. The record is from RefSeq and is a predicted model, not a curated record.